UCCUCCAUUUGGCCUUUUGAACUGAGCCCUGGCGAUGUCACAGCCUUCCCUCACCUGAGCAGCUCGCUAGGUGCAGCUGCUGUGCCCGGCUGGGCCUCGAGAGCUCCGUAAGUGCGAGUGCUGGUGACAUCAUGCUCCCUAGGGUGUCAGCUAUUAGCUGCUAAAAAUAGCUCCAGGCACACACUGAGUAGAAAAAUCAAAUGUCUGUUUCAACCACUAGUGAAUGGGAAGGUAAAGAGAAAGCUCAGCAGAGGGGCUUUUUGCUUAAAUACGAGGGCAGCGUUGUUGUGCAGUGACCCUGGCAACUGCUGCAGGUGAUGCUUCAGGACUGUGAGCCGGGGAAGCCCACAGGGACAAGUUCAUCCCUGAUGUAAUUCCAGCACUGUGAUGGUAGCAUCGCACCUUUGCUCAUCACUGAGACUAUUCGCCACGAGAUUUCUGACUUCAGAAGAAGAGCAUCCACAUUAAAAAGAAAUCUGGAGACUGUCUAAUGUCUUCCUUUUUGUGAAGACGAAACCUAGCGAUGCAGUGUUUGCCUACAGGCGUCCUUUUUCCUGUGAACACAGAGAGCCCCGAAGAACAAAUAAACUUUUUUAAGUUGCUGAUCCUGCACGUUUGCAAAUUCAUUGGGAGAUUUGGCUCCCAUGUAAGGACAGAAGGAUCCGGCUCCUAGGGAAUAAACGUCAAAGAACAUGAAAAGAAAAGCCUUAGCAGGCACUGGGAUUGUAAGUACAAAGAGUGCUUCCAAACGGCAGUAGUGAAAACCACUGGGAGAUGUGGAAUGGUCUGACAGAAACAGUAAGAAUGAUGGUUCUGAGUCAGGCACUGAAUCAGGCAAAAAAAAAAAAAAAAAAAAAAAAAAAAAAAA
Long non-coding RNA from Numida meleagris (helmeted guineafowl), 868 nucleotides. RefSeq lists it as uncharacterized. The record is from RefSeq and is a predicted model, not a curated record. NCBI's taxonomy places the organism in Eukaryota, Metazoa, Chordata, Aves, Galliformes, Numididae. The transcript has 3 exons.